RNAcentral lists this long non-coding RNA (291 nucleotides) under Mytilus galloprovincialis (Mediterranean mussel). The record is from RNAcentral. Lineage: Eukaryota; Metazoa; Mollusca; Bivalvia; Mytilida; Mytilidae.
GCCGUGGAUAGUAAACUUGAAAAUGAUAGCAGAUAGAAUUAAAAUACACUUUAUUCGUAGUAUAUGUCUGUUCAAAGUAUACAGAAAAAACGCAAACCGGAAGUCUAAUCUGACUUAAAAUUUCGUCCAAUGACGGGACAAUAUCCGGAUGCCUUUUUUCUCGUUUUUCUCCCAAAAUAACUCAAUCUGAAUAAUCAUAUAAAUGGAUGACAAAUGCGACUAUGCACUGUACCUAUAGGAAACAGAGGCGUGUUGAUUAAUUUAUUGUGGAAAGAAGAGAAGCGACACCCA